AAAAAAUUUGGGUUUGUAUAAUGGUAUGAUAUAAACUCAUCAUAGAUUAAAACCAACAGUCUAAUCUUUAUAAAAAAAUUUAGAAACAAGAUACAUGUAUAAACACCAUAAACAAACUACAACUACUGUACAUCAGAUUCCUGUAUGGAUCUCUCUGACAUUGUUCCACAAGGUUCCAUAUCACAAAGGGAAGCUAAUAUUGGGUUUGGGGGCAAUUGCACCUAGGGG
RNAcentral lists this long non-coding RNA (228 nucleotides) under Mytilus galloprovincialis (Mediterranean mussel). Lineage: Eukaryota; Metazoa; Mollusca; Bivalvia; Mytilida; Mytilidae. The record is from RNAcentral.